GCGGCUGCUUUAAUCAUCAUAGGGAUGAGACGUUAUUAUCUUUCUACACCAUAAUGCAGAUAUGCAAAGGAUUGGACAUUAAGAAGAACCUCAUCAUAAAUGUGAGUUGUUAAGGAUGCAUGAUGAACCAAUAAAAAAGACUUUGUGUGGAUGCUUUGUGGAGUUAACUCUGUCUGCUUUAUGUCAUCCAGACAGUAAUAAGCAGAACAGGCAACUUCUUUAAAU
Molecule: non-coding RNA, 225 nt
Organism: Pseudonaja textilis
Lineage: Eukaryota; Metazoa; Chordata; Lepidosauria; Squamata; Elapidae
Source: RefSeq, a predicted model, not a curated record